GUAUAUAUUACAUAGGCACAACAUUCUAAUGACAUACAAUUGGGGUAAAAUGAAGUAACAUAGACCUGGAAAGGUCUACAAAAAGUGCACAGGUGGAGAUAUAAAGAUGACAAGGCGUGCACAUGUUCCCUAGAGAACCAGCAACAACCCAUCAGGUUUAUUUCAAUAAUGAUCCUUCCGCAGGUUCACCUACGGAAA
This 198-nucleotide unclassified non-coding RNA is filed under the name uncultured fungus. RNAcentral's name for it is "sequence contains ITS1". Lineage: Eukaryota; Fungi. The record is from RNAcentral.